Pelodiscus sinensis (Chinese soft-shelled turtle) is the source of this 73-nucleotide transfer RNA. It matches the Rfam family "tRNA". Rfam says of the family: Transfer RNA (tRNA) molecules are approximately 80 nucleotides in length. Their secondary structure includes four short double-helical elements and three loops (D, anti-codon, and T loops). Further hydrogen bonds mediate the characteristic L-shaped molecular structure. tRNAs have two regions of fundamental functional importance: the anti-codon, which is responsible for specific mRNA codon recognition, and the 3' end, to which the tRNAs corresponding amino acid is attached (by aminoacyl-tRNA synthetases). tRNAs cope with the degeneracy of the genetic code in two manners: having more than one tRNA (with a specific anti-codon) for a particular amino acid; and 'wobble' base-pairing, i.e. permitting non-standard base-pairing at the 3rd anti-codon position. The record is from Rfam. NCBI's taxonomy places the organism in Eukaryota, Metazoa, Chordata, Testudines, Trionychidae.
GGGAAAUUAGCUCAAAUGGUAGAGCACUUUCUUAGCAUGUGAGCAGUAGUGGGAUCAAUGCCCACAUUCUCCA